UCUGGGUGUAGCUCAAUGGAAGAGCACUUGCCUAGCAUGUGUGAGGCACUGGGUUUGAUUCUCAGCACAGUG
This 72-nucleotide transfer RNA is filed under the name Marmota monax (woodchuck). RNAcentral describes it as "tRNA.Ala". The stretch from base 6 to 68 matches the Rfam family "tRNA", at positions 5 to 66 of the family's 71-position model. From Rfam's summary of the family: Transfer RNA (tRNA) molecules are approximately 80 nucleotides in length. Their secondary structure includes four short double-helical elements and three loops (D, anti-codon, and T loops). Lineage: Eukaryota; Metazoa; Chordata; Mammalia; Rodentia; Sciuridae. The record is from RNAcentral.